This 204-nucleotide unclassified non-coding RNA is filed under the name Bombus terrestris (buff-tailed bumblebee). RNAcentral's name for it is "misc RNA ENSBTSG00005027094.1". The record is from RNAcentral. Lineage: Eukaryota; Metazoa; Arthropoda; Insecta; Hymenoptera; Apidae.
CGCUGGGUAACGUGUGCACUACGUUCUGCACGCAUAGUGCAGUGAACGGAGCGUUUAAACGUCGAAAUAUCUUAAACGGGAGGGAAAUAGUGCAUAAUUUUCGACGAAAUCGACGAAUGAUUACGAUUUGCGUGUUUCUGGGUUUGUUUCGGCGCUGGAUAACGUGUGCUCUACGUUCUGCACGCAUAAUGCAGUGAAAAUGGC